RNAcentral lists this unclassified non-coding RNA (336 nucleotides) under soil metagenome. RNAcentral describes it as "partial contains 5.8S ribosomal RNA, internal transcribed spacer 2, and large subunit ribosomal RNA". The stretch from base 1 to 120 matches the Rfam family "5.8S ribosomal RNA", at positions 35 to 154 of the family's 154-position model. The record is from RNAcentral.
GAUGAAGAACGUAGCGAAAUGCGAUAAGUAGUGUGAAUUGCAGAAUUCAGUGAAUCAUCGAAUCUUUGAACGCACAUUGCGCCCCUUGGUAUUCCAUGGGGCAUGCCUGAUCGAGCGUCAUUUGUACCUUCAAGCUUUGCUUGGUGUUGGGUGUUUGUCUCGCCUUUGCGUGUAGACUCGCCUUAAAAUAAUUGGCAGCCGGCGUAUUGAUUUCGGAGCGCAGUACAUCUCGCGCUUUGCACUCAUAACGACAGCGUCCAAAAGUACAUUUUACACUCUUGACCUCGGAUCAGGUAGGGAUACCCGCUGAACUUAAGCAUAUCAAUAAGCGGAGGA